Molecule: long non-coding RNA, 1259 nt
Filed under: Homo sapiens (human)
Lineage: Eukaryota; Metazoa; Chordata; Mammalia; Primates; Hominidae
Description: non-protein coding LRRC75A-AS1:97
Source: RNAcentral
GGAUUGGGAUAUUCCGACUCCUUAAGGGCCUGGCGCACAUAAGGUGUGACCUUUUCAUUCCCGUUGUUAUGGAGGUAGGCUCUCUAGGAAUCUGGGAGUAGUAGCUGGGGGGCAAGAGCAAAUAAAGAGCUCGAGCUUCUGUGGUCUCUGGGGAGAUGUUCCCGGGAAGCCUGUCUAGAGGGCGGAGGGCAGCUGUUGAGAUGGCGUGGCUCCCCGGCUCCUGCGCCCGCGUGGCUUUCGCGGCGGGCGCUGCGGCCCGGUAUUGGACAGCCUGGCAGGGCAGCGCGGGGCCGAAUCCGGCUGCCGUGGCUGAGGCUCAUGGAUCACUCUUUUGUGGUAGGGCCACAUCUGCCAGAGCCUGGAGUCUGCGAAGGCCGGGACCCGGUUCCCCGGCCCACAGUGGGGGUGUGCAAACCCGAGAGAACUGGAUUGCGUACCCACUGCAGAGUGCUGAAGACGGGGUAGCCACGAGGUUGCAAAUUCGUGAAGAAUCAGCAUCAUGUUUGGCAGCUGAGUAUUGGAGCCAGGAGCCUGCCAUGAGGUUUUGAGAACAGAGUGCUGUUUUAGAGCUGGCAGCAGCAUCUCAGCCCAAGAGAAGGUUAUAUUCCCAGAGGAUGUCAGUCCCAAGGACCAGUAGCUGCCAUCAGUUUGGAUUCUGAAAACUAACUGGCAUCAACACUGGGUGUAGAAACAUGCUUGCCUUAUGUAUCAGAGGACAUGCUCAGCAGAUCCAAGAGAUAUAUUUGGCAACUUUUUCUAGAAAAGGCACAUUGGGUAUCAUUCAUUACAUUCUUGAGUUUUUUUGGGUUUUUUUUUUUUUUUUUGAGACAGUCUUGCUGUAUUGCCCAGGCUGGAGUGUGGUGGCACAAUCACAGCUCAUUGCAUCCUCAAUCACCCAGGCCUAAGCAAUCCUCCCACCUUGUAGCUGGGACUACAGCUCACAGCACACCUGGCUAAAAUUUUUUUUUUGUUGAGACGGAUUCUCUAUGUUGCCCAGGCUGGUCUCAGGCUCCUGGGCUCAGAUGGUCCUCCUGCCUCAGCUUCCAAAGGCACAGGCCAAGUUGUAGCUUUGUCCCUUGCCAUCAUGCCCAACAAGAGGUUCUAUACCUUUUAAUGAAUUGACUUUCAUAAAUUGGUUAUGUUGGUGGGCAAAGUUCUUUAAGCUGGAAAUUGUAAAUUCCUCCUGAAAUGUUUUUUCAUGCAGUUACCAUGAACUAAUACUACAAUAAAGGAUGGUCUUGGGUGUCAAUUCUUGAAAA